GACGAACGCUGGCGGCGUGCUUAACACAUGCAAGUCGAACGGAAAGGCCCUGCUUUUGUGGGGUGCUCGAGUGGCGAACGGGUGAGUAACACGUGAGUAACCUGCCCUUGACUUUGGGAUAACUUCAGGAAACUGGGGCUAAUACCGGAUAGGAGCUCCUGCUGCAUGGUGGGGGUUGGAAAGUUUCGGCGGUUGGGGAUGGACUCGCGGCUUAUCAGCUUAUUGGUGGGGUAGUGGCUUACCAAGGCUUUGACGGGUAGCCGGCCUGAGAGGGUGACCGGCCACAUUGAGACUGAGAUACGGCCCAGACUCCUACGGGAGGCAGCAGUGGGGAAUAUUGCACAAUGGGCGGAAGCCUGAUGCAGCAACGCCGCGUGCGGGAUGACGGCCUUCGGGUUGUAAACCGCUUUCGCCUGUGACGAAGCGUGAGUGACGGUAAUGGGUAAAGAAGCACCGGCUAACUACGUG
This 468-nucleotide ribosomal RNA is filed under the name uncultured bacterium. Its description in RNAcentral is "partial 16S ribosomal RNA". It matches the Rfam family "Bacterial small subunit ribosomal RNA", at positions 28 to 507 of the family's 1533-position model. The record is from RNAcentral.